RNAcentral lists this ribosomal RNA (115 nucleotides) under Danio rerio (zebrafish). Lineage: Eukaryota; Metazoa; Chordata; Actinopteri; Cypriniformes; Danionidae. The record is from RNAcentral.
ACCGGCAGCUAGCUCUCUGCAACUCUCACAUGGUCACCUACUGAAGCUAAGCAGGGCUGCGCCUGGUCAGUACCUGGAUGGAAGACCACAUGGGAAAGCUAGGUUGCUGCCGGAA